Molecule: long non-coding RNA, 362 nt
Organism: Rhinichthys klamathensis goyatoka
Lineage: Eukaryota; Metazoa; Chordata; Actinopteri; Cypriniformes; Leuciscidae
Exons: 3
Source: RefSeq, a predicted model, not a curated record
UUUGUUAACUUACAGAGUCUAACAACACAAUGAGUUAGAACAAAUUCAACUUAAACAGAAAAGCUGAAGUAAAAAUAUACUCGAUACGAACAUGGUGUUUAAUGCGCAUGCGCCAGAAAUACUACGUCAUGAUGACGCACUACUUCACUAGAGUUUGAAAAAUGCGCUGUUAUGUUUCUGUAAUGGCGGUGCAUGAGGAAACGGAACUGAAGCUUCCCAAACAAGAAGAGAACAAAAGGAGCGCCACGUUUGGCUGUUUGCAGAUGAGAUGUUAUACUGCAAAUAAUCAGUCAAGAUCAGUUCACAUUUGUUAUUGGAGAUACAGGACAAGCGGUGUGGAAUCACAGACCUGUAUUGAUGAG